This 75-nucleotide ribosomal RNA is filed under the name Bacillota bacterium. RNAcentral describes it as "partial 16S ribosomal RNA". It matches the Rfam family "Bacterial small subunit ribosomal RNA", at positions 1 to 75 of the family's 1533-position model. Lineage: Bacteria; Bacillati; Bacillota. RNAcentral also lists the same sequence under 1 other name. The record is from RNAcentral.
GUAACGGAGAGUUUGAUCCUGGCUCAGGAUGAACGCUGGCGGCGUGCCUCAAACAUGCAAGUCGAGCGGGGCUAU